UCCGUAGGUGAACCUGCGGAGGGAUCAUUACCGAGUUAUUCAACUCAUCAACCCUGUGAACAUACCUAAACGUUGCUUCGGCGGGAAUAGACGGCCCCGUGAAACGGGCCGCCCCCGCCAGAGGACCCUUAACUCUGUUUCUAUAAUGUUUCUUCUGAGUAAAACAAGCAAAUAAAUUAAAACUUUCAACAACGGAUCUCUUGGCUCUGGCAUCGAUGAAGAACGCAGCGAAAUGCGAUAAGUAAUGUGAAUUGCAGAAUUCAGUGAAUCAUCGAAUCUUUGAACGCACAUUGCGCCCGCCAGUAUUCUGGCGGGCAUGCCUGUUCGAGCGUCAUUACAACCCUCAGGCCCCCGGGCCUGGCGUUGGGGAUCGGCGGAGCCUCUCUGUGGGCACACGCCGUCCCCCAAAUACAGUGGCGGUCCCGCCGCAGCUUCCAUCGCGUAGUAGCUAACACCUCGCGACUGGAGAGCGGCGCGGCCACGCCGUAAAACACCCAACUCUUCUGAAGUUGACCUCGAAUCAGGUAGGAAUACCCGCUGAACUUAAGCAUAUCAAUAAGCGGA
This 564-nucleotide ribosomal RNA is filed under the name fungal sp. E14424A. RNAcentral's name for it is "eukaryotic LSU rRNA". The stretch from base 181 to 334 matches the Rfam family "5.8S ribosomal RNA". The record is from RNAcentral. Lineage: Eukaryota; Fungi.